CCCAGCUUGUCAUGCUAGAGCACUUUUUCAAUGUGCUCCCCAACGAGAAGGCGACGCAUUCGUAUGUCAAUCCAUAUUAACUUUCGAUGCCAUUGACUGCGCCUACCAUGGUGACCACGGGUAACGGGGAAUCAGGGUUCAAUUCCGUACAGGGACCCUUACAAAUGGCUACCACAUGCAAGGAAGGCAGCAGGCGCGCAAAUGACCCACUCCCGAUGCGGGAAGGUAGUGACG
This 234-nucleotide ribosomal RNA is filed under the name Pelobates cultripes (western spadefoot toad). RNAcentral's name for it is "SSU_rRNA_microsporidia". It matches the Rfam family "Eukaryotic small subunit ribosomal RNA", at positions 238 to 472 of the family's 1831-position model. Lineage: Eukaryota; Metazoa; Chordata; Amphibia; Anura; Pelobatidae. The record is from RNAcentral.